Long non-coding RNA from Notolabrus celidotus (New Zealand spotty), 602 nucleotides. RefSeq lists it as uncharacterized. The transcript has 3 exons. NCBI's taxonomy places the organism in Eukaryota, Metazoa, Chordata, Actinopteri, Labriformes, Labridae. The record is from RefSeq and is a predicted model, not a curated record.
GAUAGCAGAGAGCUCAUUCAUUGUGCCGGGGCGGGCCCGACUAUUUUAGCGUUGUGAUUGUGAUCCAGCCAAGCCAAAUAUAGUCGUAGACAGGUAUUUUUAGCCGGAAAGCGUGUCCCCAUUUUCAUUUGGCAAAGGAAACCUGGGCCAUAUAGAAAACAGUCUGAAGUGGGCUACGACUACAAAACCAGCACUAUCAGAGUCCACCUGAUAUUAGAUAGGUUUACAGUAAGCUGAUAGUGCCGACAGAGAAAAGAAGUGUAGGAGUAAUCGAGGGUAAAUCUGACCACAGGUUCCCUUUUCUACCCGUGGACGAGGUUGGAAAAGCGGGGAAAGAGAGACCGUAGUCUCGUGAAGCAGACCCAGAGCAGCUCUUCCUGGCCAGUUGGGGUAUCAGCUGCCUCGACUGUGUGACCUCACUACAGUGACGUGUAAUCCAGAUUAACCAGCAGUCUUUAUUCCGCCAGACGUGGAAGUGAUUAGAGAUUAUGACGUGUCCUUUUAAUAGAAUUGGACGUGUGGGUAAUCAACUGCGUCCACCAGCAUCCCAUGUCAGGAUAGCUGAAGAAAGACAGGAAAUGUGGGGAGUAGAGACUGGGGGA